Molecule: ribosomal RNA, 390 nt
Filed under: Bradyrhizobium japonicum
Lineage: Bacteria; Pseudomonadati; Pseudomonadota; Alphaproteobacteria; Hyphomicrobiales; Nitrobacteraceae
Description: bacterial SSU rRNA
Rfam family: Bacterial small subunit ribosomal RNA
Source: RNAcentral
GCAUCGCGCUCCAUUCAAGUCGAGCGGGCGCAGCAAUCGUCAGCGGCAGACGGGUUGAGUAACGCGGUGGGAACGUUACCUUUUGGUUCGGAACAACACAGGGAAACUUGUGCUAAUACCGGAUAAGCCCUUACGGGGAAAGAUUUAUCGCCGAAAGAUCGGCCCGCGUCUGAUUAUCUAGUUGGUGAGGUAAUGGCUCACCAAGGCGACGAUCAGUAGCUGGUCUGAGAGGAUGAUCAGCCACAUUGGGACUGAGACACGGCCCAAACUCCUACGGGAGGCAGCAGUGGGGAAUAUUGGACAAUGGGGGCAACCCUGAUCCAUUCAUGCCGUGUGAGUGAUGAAGGUCCUACGGUUGUAAAGCUCUUUUGUGCGCUAUAUUGACGUCCU